RNAcentral lists this ribosomal RNA (253 nucleotides) under uncultured bacterium. RNAcentral describes it as "partial 16S ribosomal RNA". It matches the Rfam family "Bacterial small subunit ribosomal RNA", at positions 524 to 776 of the family's 1533-position model. The record is from RNAcentral.
UACGUAGGGUGCGAGCGUUAAUCGGAAUUACUGGGCGUAAAGCGUGCGCAGGCGGUUUUGUAAGCCAGAUGUGAAAUCCCCGGGCUUAACCUGGGAAUGGCAUUUGGGACUGCAAGGCUGGAGUGCGGCAGAGGAGACUGGAAUUCCUGGUGUAGCAGUGAAAUGCGUAGAUAUCAGGAGGAACACCGGUGGCGAAGGCGGGUCUCUGGGCCGUAACUGACGCUGAGGAGCGAAAGCAUGGGGAGCGAACAGG